UUUAUGGAGAGUUUGAUCCUGGCUCAGGAUGAACGCUGGCGGCGUGCCUAAUACAUGCAAGUCGAGCGAACGGACGAGAAGCUUGCUUCUCUGAUGUUAGCGGCGGACGGGUGAGUAACACGUGGAUAACCUACCUAUAAGACUGGGAUAACUUCGGGAAACCGGAGCUAAUACCGGAUAAUAUUUUGAACCGCAUGGUUCAAAAGUGAAAGACGGUCUUGCUGUCACUUAUAGAUGGAUCCGCGCUGCAUUAGCUAGUUGGUAAGGUAACGGCUUACCAAGGCAACGAUGCAUAGCCGACCUGAGAGGGUGAUCGGCCACACUGGAACUGAGACACGGUCCAGACUCCUACGGGAGGCAGCAGUAGGGAAUCUUCCGCAAUGGGCGAAAGCCUGACGGAGCAACGCCGCGUGAGUGAUGAAGGUCUUCGGAUCGUAAAACUCUGUUAUUAGGGAAGAACAUAUGUGUAAGUAACUGUGCACAUCUUGACGGUACCUAAUCAGAAAGCCACGGCUAACUACGUGCCAGCAGCCGCGGUAAUACGUAGGUGGCAAGCGUUAUCCGGAAUUAUUGGGCGUAAAGCGCGCGUAGGCGGUUUUUUAAGUCUGAUGUGAAAGCCCACGGCUCAACCGUGGAGGGUCAUUGGAAACUGGAAAACUUGAGUGCAGAAGAGGAAAGUGGAAUUCCAUGUGUAGCGGUGAAAUGCGCAGAGAUAUGGAGGAACACCAGUGGCGAAGGCGACUUUCUGGUCUGUAACUGACGCUGAUGUGCGAAAGCGUGGGGAUCAAACAGGAUUAGAUACCCUGGUAGUCCACGCCGUAAACGAUGAGUGCUAAGUGUUAGGGGUUUCCGCCCUUAGUGCUGCAGCUAACGCAUUAAGCACUCCGCCUGGGGAGUACGACCGCAAGGUUGAAACUCAAAGGAAUUGACGGGGACCCGCACAAGCGGUGGAGCAUGUGGUUUAAUUCGAAGCAACGCGAAGAACCUUACCAAAUCUUGACAUCCUUUGACAACUCUAGAGAUAGAGCCUUCCUCUUCGGGGACAAAGUGACAGGUGGUGCAUGGUUGUCGUCAGCUCGUGUCGUGAGAUGUUGGGUUAAGUCCCGCAACGAGCGCAACCCUUAAGCUUAGUUGCCAUCAUUAAGUUGGGCACUCUAAGUUGACUGCCGGUGACAAACCGGAGGAAGGUGGGGAUGACGUCAAAUCAUCAUGCCCCUUAUGAUUUGGGCUACACACGUGCUACAAUGGACAAUACAAAGGGCAGCGAAACCGCGAGGUCAAGCAAAUCCCAUAAAGUUGUUCUCAGUUCGGAUUGUAGUCUGCAACUCGACUACAUGAAGCUGGAAUCGCUAGUAAUCGUAGAUCAGCAUGCUACGGUGAAUACGUUCCCGGGUCUUGUACACACCGCCCGUCACACCACGAGAGUUUGUAACACCCGAAGCCGGUGGAGUAACCUUUUAGGAGCUAGCCGUCGAAGGUGGGACAAAUGAUUGGGGUGAAGUCGUAACAAGGUAGCCGUAUCGGAAGGUGCGGCUGGAUCACCUCCUUUCU
Molecule: ribosomal RNA, 1551 nt
Filed under: Staphylococcus aureus
Lineage: Bacteria; Bacillati; Bacillota; Bacilli; Caryophanales; Staphylococcaceae
Description: 16S ribosomal RNA
Rfam family: Bacterial small subunit ribosomal RNA
Source: RNAcentral